CAAGUCCCCAACCGACCCAGGAGCCCAGCCAGCUUCACCUCUCACUUUGACCUUUCUAUUAGACCCAAGAAAUAAUCACUGCUUUGGUUUGAGUGUUUGCAACCUUCAAAAAUUCAUAUAUAAACUGAAUCCUUAUUGUGGUUGUAUUAAGAUGUGGGGUCUUUGGGAAGAACAAGAUACCACCUUGAAGGUAGAGAGCUGGGAUGAUGGAAAAGUGAGCAUGCCAAAGGAUAUGAAAUAUAAUAUCAACAAAUGAGAAAAAAAGACUGGAUUAGAAUGUACAUCAUGGUGGGAAGCAUAGAACUCCAUUCUCUAGCCACGACAAUGAACAAUGAUGCCAAUCAUAGUGUUACAUCCCCAUCACUACAGUCAUUACUCCAGGGAUAUGCUCGUGAUUCAAGCCAGUUAAUCAGUGAUGUAUUUCUGCUUACAGAAGUGUCAUGAGGUAAGACUGAAGAUGUCCAUUUCCAGGGCUCCAGUCUUUGGAGAAGGUGGUCAGAGAGAAUGA
Molecule: long non-coding RNA, 508 nt
Organism: Pan troglodytes (chimpanzee)
Lineage: Eukaryota; Metazoa; Chordata; Mammalia; Primates; Hominidae
Exons: 3
Source: RefSeq, a predicted model, not a curated record